CAUGCAAGUCGAGCGGGGGAGRUUGCUUCGGUAAUUGACCUAGCGGCGGACGGGUGAGUAAUACUUAGGAAUCUGCCUAUUAAUGGGGGACAACAUCUCGAAAGGGAUGCUAAUACCGCAUACGCCCUACGGGGGAAAGCAGGGGAUCACUUGUGACCUUGCGUUAAUAGAUGAGCCUAAGUCGGAUUAGCUAGUUGGUGGGGUAAAGGCCUACCAAGGCGACGAUCUGUAGCGGGUCUGAGAGGAUGAUCCGCCACACUGGGACUGAGACACGGCCCAGACUCCUACGGGAGGCAGCAGUGGGGAAUAUUGGACAAUGGGGGGAACCCUGAUCCAGCCAUGCCGCGUGUGUGAAGAAGGCCUUAUGGUUGUAAAGCACUUUAAGCGAGGAGGAGGCUCCUGUAGUUAAUACCUACARAGAGUGGACGUUACUCGCAGWAUAAGCACCGGCUAA
RNAcentral lists this ribosomal RNA (454 nucleotides) under Acinetobacter lwoffii. RNAcentral describes it as "bacterial SSU rRNA". It matches the Rfam family "Bacterial small subunit ribosomal RNA", at positions 54 to 500 of the family's 1533-position model. The record is from RNAcentral. Lineage: Bacteria; Pseudomonadati; Pseudomonadota; Gammaproteobacteria; Moraxellales; Moraxellaceae.